UCCGUAGGAUGCAAGCGUUGUCCGGUUUUAUUGGGUUCAAAGGGUGCGUAGGCGGCCUAUUAAGUUAGUGGUGAAAACGUUCGGCUUAACCGGAUACCCGCCAUUGAUACUGAUAGACUUGAGUGCGACAGAGGGUGUUGGAAUGUGUGGUGUAGCGGUGAAAUGCUUAGAUAUCACGCAGAACACCAAUUGCGAAGGCAGAUGCCUAUGUCGUAACUGACGAUGAGGCACGAAAGCGUGGGGAGCAAACAGG
RNAcentral lists this ribosomal RNA (253 nucleotides) under uncultured bacterium. Its description in RNAcentral is "partial 16S ribosomal RNA". It matches the Rfam family "Bacterial small subunit ribosomal RNA", at positions 524 to 776 of the family's 1533-position model. The record is from RNAcentral.